AGAGCCCAGCUCUGGGCUGGAUCCUGCUGCAGAACCACCCAGGAGAUGGUGCUCUUGAACCAGAGAUAGAUGCAGCGCUGACCCAGAGGCAUCCUCGAACGCAGCCCUCCCUGUUUUCCCUUUGUGUUGCAUGCUCUUCUUUGGGGUUCCCAUUUCCUAUGGGGAGAAGAAUGUGAUGAUGUUGAGCCCGGAGCGUAUUUCCAUCUGAUCCGUAAUGCGAUUUCCAGCCUGGUGAUCCUAGGCUCCUGCCUGAAAUGACGCUGGUGCUUGUAGGAGGUGUUUUUCCCUGGACUGUGAGACUAGUGAGAUGCUGAAGCUGAACACGGAGCAGAUUUGCAGCUGAUUGCCCUGAUUGGAGCCUGGGAUGCGCUGUGCCCAAGCCAAGCAUCUGAGGGGUGCCAGCUCCAUUGCUGCCAGGGCUGGGAAAAGCACGGCCGUGCGUGGGGCUCCCUGUGGCCUCCUCAGUGGGACAGCCUUUCACUGCUGACACGUGUCUCAGAGGUGCUGUCACAGCAUUCAGACAUCAGCAUGAAGCUUGGGCAGCCUCAUCCAUAAGCUGUGGGCUCCUCAUGGGUGCUGCUGGCUAGGGGGGAGGUUUCCCUCUUUUGGGGCUGAUGGGAAGCGCAGCUGAUGCUUGCAGUGGAACUGGAAGAAAAUCAUGGUCCUGUGCACACAGGGGAUGGCCAGCUCUGUCACUAGAAACAUAAUCCCUCUUUUGGAACAAUGCUUCUGACAAGUGAAGUCAUCUUCAUCAUUAGUUUGGAUCAUGACAGAAGAAUAAACUUUCCAGAAGAUACUGCUUGUCCUUCACUUAUAAUCUGAAUCACAGUCAUCAGUGCAGUAAGACCAUUGUCACUGCAUUCGGUACUUGGAAAGAAAUGGGUUAAGAGAUAAAACCUGCAAUUAUGGAAUCACAAAACAGCCCGAGUUAGAUGGGAUCUUGAAAGAUCAUCAGCUCCAUGCUUUCACAGGAAAUGGGAGCAUCACUAAGAUUACCUAGCACCCUCUUCUAUUGCACCUUGAUACCACAUGCUUCCCUCUCUCAUCUCAUGGCUUUUAUUUAGUAAAAACCUCUGUUUGGUAUUAUGUUAACUAUUAUAUGCCUCUUUCCUUGCAAGGGUUGUUUAGUGGGGUUGUGCAUGGAACUUCUCUCUUAGGAGAGAUCCAUACCCACGCUUGAGAGGUGGGGGGACCCAAAAGUCACCAUCAUAGAGUUAAAAUGGGCCAGAACCAUCUUGCUCAAGUGUGACGUUACUCUUCCUUUUAAACUGGGACUUAUUGUCUUCAUUUAAUUAAAUUUUUACCCAAGUCACCUUAAUCUUUUCAAAAACCUUUGAUAGGAUACCAAAUAGACAGAUGAUUGGAACAAUUACCUUCUCAUCUAGGGGGACUGUUGUGGCCUUCUUGCUGUAGGUAUUCUAGACAGUACUGUCCUUGAACAAAUGAAAUAAUUUAGAUCUUGUUACCUUUUAUUUGUUGUCUGCCCUGUUUACCUAAUCCUCAUCUUGUUAGUGUUGUCUUUAUAAUGAAUAAACAGCGAUGUUCUUGUUUUGUAUUACAUUUUUCUCUUAAAAUUCUGUGGCACUAUGUACCUGUAUGCUCAUGUGCAAUCUUCUACACUGAAGUUAUCUGUUGAUAUCCCUGCCAGAAUAAUCACGAUGACUGCAGAGGUGGGAAACACAUUAUUUGCUGAAUUCUUUCCUGUCACAAUCUCUGAAACGGUCUCCUGCAGCAGAGAAUGAAAAUAAAUCUGAAAUGUCUUGGAGUGGCACUGCCAGCCUAGUGAGUAGCAUCACUAGAAAAAGCUUUGCAGAGCUGUAUUACCCAACAGACAAAGAGUGAGGGAGUUUUGGGGAAGAAAUACCACUUCUGUUUUCUUACAUCAGCAUUGAAGUCCACUGGCGGAGCAGUAUGUGGGGGGAAAAACAUGCUGAUAAUGUCACUGCUACAUACAGGAAAUGGGGCAUGCUGUCAUGUGAUGGCAACCACCAGCAGUGCUCUCUAGCACUGACUUGAUGCCCCAUAGAUGCUUGUAUCCAGCCCUCUCCUCUUGGACAACUGGCAUCAUCUUAAGACUUCUUAUCUUUGUUAAAAAAAAAAAAAAAAAGUAGCUUGACAAACCAUUCAAACACUGCCUCUUCCCUGCCUUUGUACUUGUUUAUUCCCUCCUCAUUGUGUUUUUAGCUAAAGCAGAUUAUUGCAAAAUCCAUUUAAAAAACAGGGUAGUUUUAUACUGAAAGAUAUCUAGAGGGCAGCAAAUCCAGAGGGAAAUCUCAUCCUUCAGUGCAAACAAAACCUCCUCUUCUAUUUUAUUUCUGAAAAAAUCAAGCACAGUUAUGUAAAACCUUGUAUUUCUCUAUACGAAACAGCAAUCGUAAGAUAUCUCUAUAUGGCUGAGCUAUGAACAUACCUAGGAGCAAACUUGUAAUUUGAUUAAUGAUUACUGUGGUGGGCAAGGACUCUGAAGUUCAGGUGUGAGUUACAAAGAAACUGCUCUGCCGUCUAAAAUCGCAUCUGAAAGCAAAUGUAUUUUUAGCGUACUGCUGUGUGGUGUGGAAUGUUCCUGAGUUAUUGGUUCAUAAUUGUAGUGAUUGUGGAGAAUGUAUUUAAUAAUAAUUUGACAUUUAAUUCAAUAUUAUGUAGUGCUUCUGAUUGCAGUUCUGUCAUUCUUUGUGCUUUGUUCAAGUUGUAUCUGGCUAAACAGUAGGUGGG
Molecule: long non-coding RNA, 2712 nt
Filed under: Gallus gallus (chicken)
Lineage: Eukaryota; Metazoa; Chordata; Aves; Galliformes; Phasianidae
Description: lncRNA (ENSGALG00010018389.1)
Source: RNAcentral